CAGUCGCCGCGGUAAUACGUAGGGUGCAAGCGUUAAUCGGAAUUACUGGGCGUAAAGCGUGCGCAGGCGGUUAUAUAAGACAGAUGUGAAAUCCCCGGGCUCAACCUGGGAACUGCAUUUGUGACUGUAUAGCUAGAGUACGGCAGAGGGGGAUGGAAUUCCGCGUGUAGCAGUGAAAUGCGUAGAUAUGCGGAGGAACACCGAUGGCGAAGGCAAUCCCCUGGGCCUGUACUGACGCUCAUGCACGAAAGCGUGGGGAGCAAACAGGAUUAGAUACCCCUGUAGUCCCUGUCUCUUAUAU
RNAcentral lists this ribosomal RNA (301 nucleotides) under uncultured bacterium. RNAcentral describes it as "partial 16S ribosomal RNA". It matches the Rfam family "Bacterial small subunit ribosomal RNA", at positions 509 to 809 of the family's 1533-position model. The record is from RNAcentral.